AGUGAACGCUGGCGGUAGGCCUAACACAUGCAAGUCGAACGGCAGCACAGUAAGAGCUUGCUCUUACGGGUGGCGAGUGGCGGACGGGUGAGGAAUACAUCGGAAUCUACUUUUUCGUGGGGGAUAACGUAGGGAAACUUACGCUAAUACCGCAUACGACCUACGGGUGAAAGCAGGGGAUCUUCGGACCUUGCGCGACUGAAUGAGCCGAUGUCGGAUUAGCUAGUUGGCGGGGUAAAGGCCCACCAAGGCGACGAUCCGUAGCUGGUCUGAGAGGAUGAUCAGCCACACUGGAACUGAGACACGGUCCAGACUCCUACGGGAGGCAGCAGUGGGGAAUAUUGGACAAUGGGCGCAAGCCUGAUCCAGCCAUACCGCGUGGGUGAAGAAGGCCUUCGGGUUGUAAAGCCCUUUUGUUGGGAAAGAAAAGCAGCAGGUUGAUACCCCGCUGUUCUGACGGUACCCAAAGAAUAAGCACCGGCUAACUUCGUG
Molecule: ribosomal RNA, 492 nt
Filed under: uncultured bacterium
Lineage: Bacteria
Description: partial 16S ribosomal RNA
Rfam family: Bacterial small subunit ribosomal RNA
Source: RNAcentral